This 468-nucleotide ribosomal RNA is filed under the name uncultured bacterium. RNAcentral describes it as "partial 16S ribosomal RNA". It matches the Rfam family "Bacterial small subunit ribosomal RNA", at positions 28 to 507 of the family's 1533-position model. The record is from RNAcentral.
GACGAACGCUGGCGGCGUGCUUAACACAUGCAAGUCGAACGGAAAGGCCCUGCUUUUGUGGUGUGCUCGAGUGGCGAACGCGUGAGUAACACGUGAGUAACCUGCCCUUGACUUUGGGAUAACUUCAGGAAGCUGGGGCUAAUACCGGAUAGGAGCUCCUGCUGCAUGGUGGGGGUUGGAAAGUUUCGGCGGUUGGGGAUGGACUCGCGGCUUAUCAGCUUGUUGGUGGGGUAGUGGCUGACCAAGGCUUUGACGGGUAGCCGGCCUGAGAGGGUGACCGGCCACAUUGGGACUGAGAUACGGCCCAGACUCCUACGGGAGGCAGCAGUGGGGAAUAUUGCACAAUGGGCGGAAGCCUGAUGCAGCAACGCCGCGUGCGGGAUGACGGUCUUCGGGUUGUAAACCGCUUUCGCCUGUGACGAAGCGUGAGUGACGGUAAUGGGUAAAGAAGCACCGGCUAACUACGUG